AUGGUGUUUCUGUUGAGGCUCCUCCAGGGCCUUUGCGUAAGCUGCUCCAGUGGAGGGAUCCAGCCACAGAGUGCAGCUGUCCGCUCUCGGCUCAGCCAUCCUGGCAUCUGGAAAGCCCUCCCUGGCUUCCUGGACAGCUGUCACUUGAUCAUCGUGGACUUCCCUGGUCUCCUCACCUUCAACUGGAGCGUCCGAGACCAGCCAGCUGUACCUCCUUCAUUCUGUUCUGCGGAGAGGGACCGGAUGGACUCAGCUUGCCUCUGGCUGUGCACACCCUGGCUCUGGGCGGCUAGCAUCUGGGUGCACCGGCCUUGGGCCAGGGGGACCUUCAGGACCAAUCAUGAGGAGCCUCACGAUGGAGAAAGAGUUGAGAGCCCUGAGCCCACUUUAUGGAUGCUUGGAAGAGAAGGGAGAGCCUGCAAGACUAGAAGCAAGUGUGUUGAUACUGGCCCUCACGGGGCUCCUGAGCACUUAAGUGUUUGGCUUCAAGAGUGA
RNAcentral lists this long non-coding RNA (495 nucleotides) under Oryctolagus cuniculus (rabbit). Its description in RNAcentral is "lncRNA (ENSOCUG00000036286.1)". The record is from RNAcentral. Lineage: Eukaryota; Metazoa; Chordata; Mammalia; Lagomorpha; Leporidae.